AUUGCACGCUAGCGGGAUGCCUUACACAUGCAAGUCGAACGGAGUGGCGAACGGGUGAGUAAUGUAUCGGAACGUGCCCCGUAGCGGGGGAUAACUACGCGAAAGCGUAGCUAAUACCGCAUACUUUUGGAGCGGCCGAUACCCGAGUAGGAAGUUGGUGGGGUAACGGUUCACCAAGGCGACGCUCCGUAGCUGGUUUGAGAGGACGACCAGCCACACUGGGACUGAGACACGGCCCAGACUCCUACGGGAGGCAGCAGUGGGGAAUGUGGGACAAUGGGGGAAACCCUGAUGCAGCCAUCCCGCGUGUGCGAUGAAGGCCUUCGGGUUGUAAAGCACUUUCAGCGGGGAGGCGUUACCCGCAGAAGAAGCACCGGCUAACUCCGUGCCAGCCGCCGCGGUAAUAC
Molecule: ribosomal RNA, 407 nt
Filed under: uncultured bacterium
Lineage: Bacteria
Description: partial 16S ribosomal RNA
Rfam family: Bacterial small subunit ribosomal RNA
Source: RNAcentral